RNAcentral lists this long non-coding RNA (27310 nucleotides) under Capsicum annuum. Its description in RNAcentral is "long non-coding RNA (CANN_LNC012388)". The record is from RNAcentral. Lineage: Eukaryota; Viridiplantae; Streptophyta; Magnoliopsida; Solanales; Solanaceae.
UUUACUUGACCCUCUUACUAAUAGUGAUUAUUUCAAUUUACUUAUAAAAUUUAUGAAAUCAAGAAAAAUUUAUCAUAUUUUCUCAAUAUUAUCCUUAUCAUGAAAUGACUACAUAAAGUAUCAGUAGUCAAAUUUAUAUUUUUAAAACAUAAUUAAUAAUACCAAUUUAGUAAAAUAAAUUCUUAGUAAAUACUCCCUUCGUCCCAAAUUUUCUAAUUUGAUUUUCAAAUUUACUUGUCCUUUUCAUUAAUCAAGAAGAGACAAUUUUUUUUCAUGUUUUACCCUUUGCAUUAAUUAUUUUUUCUUCAAAUUAAAAUGUAAACAUCAUUUAAUAGGGGCAAUAUUGUAAACUAGCCAUGUUAUUAAUUAUUUUUCUUAAUAAUGUGUCAUUUCAAUUUGGGACGGAUAAUUUGAGACAGAAGGAGUAUUUUCUCAGGGGUUAUGUUAAGUCAACAUAAUUCAAGUAAAAUAAAUUGGAGGGAAUAAUACUUUGUGUGCUCAUUUAAUGCUAAAGUAAUAUUGAAAGAAAAUAAUAAUUAUUUUUUUCAUUUUAUAAAUUAAAAAAAUAAAUUAAAUAAUUAUUUUUAAUUAAAAAUCAAGUAAAAUAAAAUAAAGGAGAUAUUUACUCGUUUACUACCUUUAGAACAUCUUAGUAAAAAUUUCAAAAAUAUUUAGGGUCCGUUUGACAAUGAAAAUUUUUCCCUUUUUUUCGAAAAUUUUUUUUGGAGUUGGAAAUUGUGGUGUUUGGCCAUGAAAAUUCGGAAAAUAAUUUUGAAAUUUUUUUUUGAAAAGAGAAAACAGGUUUUUGGUGUUUUCACAAUUUUCCAACUCCAAUUUCAACUUUUAUUAUUAUUACAUAUAACCCCAAUCUUUUAGAUUUUUAUAUAAAACUCUCCUUAUAAUUAUAACUACCUACCAACAAACAAAUAAAAAUACUUUCUCAUUCAUUUGCACUUUAUUCUAUUCUUAUUCAUUUGAAGUGUACAUACUAAUGAUUAUGUAUAUUAUGGGUAAGUGGUUUGUCUUCAUAAUUUGUAAAUUACUUUUUUUUUUAAACUUAAAGAUGACUACUCAUUUAUACUAAUCUCCUAUUUUUUUUUUAUAGAAACAUACUAAUCUCUCAUUUUUUUUUUAUAGAAACAUUCAUUGCUUACACUCGUUCACAUUUCUGGCCAAUGUAUGUCUGUUUUACCCAGAAAAUGAUUUACUAUACCUAAACUACUUCUUAUUAAUUUUAUGUAAAAAUGGUCAGAUGACAAAAGUAUUAUUAAUAAUUAAUGGACUACAAACUCAUCUCUUCCAUUUAUGUGUAUAUUUUAUAGGUUGAUUUGCUACCUCAAAUCUUAAUUAAUCAGUUUACUCAAUCUUCUUCUGUAGCUAUUAAUAGCUGAGAUACUUUAAAAGCAAAUCAAUUUAAAUUGCAUGAGUUGACACUCUUUGUAAUUUUCUCACUUCGCUGAAAGAGUUUAGAAUAGUUAUGCUGCUGUUUGCUGCAUGCCUUUUGCAUAAUUUGUAAAAGUUAGGUGAUUUUGAUAGUUUGUAAAAGUUGGGGCAUAAAAUCAUAUUUUAAAAUGUUUUUUCAAAAGUCAAAAAAAAGUUUUAAAAAAGAUAUGUCCAAACACAACUCCAACUCUAAUUUCAACUCCAACUCUAAAAAUUUUUAGUUUUUAUGGCCAAACGGCUACUUAAUAGUCGUUUGAUCAUGAGAAUUAUUUACCUUUUUUUGAAAAACUAUUUUACUUUAGUGAAAAAAGUGAAAAUAAUAUGUGUUUGACCAUUAGAAUUCAAAUACAAUUUAAAAUUAUAUUUAAAAAAGUGAAAACAAGAAAACUUAUUUUCACCUUUUUUACUCCUAAUUCUCUAAUGAAAUUUCAAAAUCAACUUAAAUUUAUAUUGAUUUCAACUCUAACUCCAACUUUAAUUUAAAAAAUUAUGAUUUUCAUAAUCAAACACACCUUUUUAAGUUGUUGUAUUGAGUCCAAUUUAAUAGGAAAGGGUACGAUAAUAUAAGAUUUUUAGGCAAGGUUGAUACUCCCACCUAAUCAAUCACAAGCCUUUUACCUAUCCCCAAAUUACAACCCACCCGCCCCCACACAAAAUCCCAUCAUCUCGCCACGCUCCCUCAUCUCAUCUUCCCUCUCGUUUCCCCUUUUUCCCCCAUUUGCUCACCUCAUUUCCCACUCUCUCUCUCUAAACUCCUUUUCUUCCUAACCUCCUUGUCCCCUUUCCCACGAGAUUCUCCAUCUAAAAUAGCAAAAGAAUUCUAGGGUUUUCUUUAUAUUUCUGCAUACAUAAACCCCAGCUAAAAAUAUUUAUACCUGUUUUUCUACUUAUUUUACAAAAAAACCAACCGUGUUUUGCUUAUUAUAAGCUUAAUUAAUAAUCUUUGUCUGGUUUUGAUUUCUGGGCGGAGUUUUUGAGGUGUUUUUUAUUUAUUUUUUAUUUCUUUCUCUUCUUCUUCUCAUUUUUUGCGAUGCAAUACGAUGAUCUUUAUCACCGUCUGAUGUGAUGACUAUAUUUAUUAGUCAAUGGCUUUAUCGCUACCUUUCUUCUUCUCCUCACUUCAUUUGACUCUGGUUUUCUUCGUGUUUUUAGUAAACCCUUUAGCGAUUUCUGGUUAUUCAGACGACGAUAUUGAUUCUGAGUUUAUUCUUUUCCAUCAAGACUAUACACCGCCGGCGCCACCACCUCCGCCGCCACACCCGCCGUCGGUAUCAUGUGAAGAUGAUCUCGGCGGAGUUGGCUCGUUGGAUACAACUUGUAAGAUUGUAUCCAAUUUGAAUAUCACUAAGAGUGUCUAUAUUGAAGGGAAGGGUAAUUUUUAUGUCCUUCCUAAUGUUACGUUAAAUUGUACUUUCUGGGGUUGUGAAAUUGGGAUUAAUGUUACGGGGAACUUUACUUUGGGUGAGAAUUCCGUGAUACUAGCUGGAACGUUCCAGCUUGUGGCGGAUAACGCUACCUUUAGUAAUAGUUCUGCUGUGAAUACAACUGGUUUGGCUGGCUCAGCGCCUGCUCAGACAAGUGGUACGCCUCAAGGAGUGGAUGGUGCAGGUGGAGGUUAUGGUGGAAGAGGGGCUUGUUGUUUGACGGAUGGAAAGAAGAUGCAGGAGGAUGUUUGGGGUGGAGAUGCUUAUGGAUGGUCCACAUUGCAAUUACCGUGGAGUUAUGGGAGUAAAGGUGGGACAACUAGUAAGACUGUGGAUUAUGGUGGGGGUGGAGGUGGAAGAGUAAUGCUGUUGGUGGAGAAGUUUCUAGAAGUGAAUGGCAGUGUGUUGGCUGAUGGAGGUGAUGGAGGCGUCAAAGGUGGCGGUGGCUCUGGUGGUAGCAUCUACAUCAGAGCUUAUAAGAUGUAAUAUUUCUUUUGCUUUAUUUUCCUAUUGUUACUAUAUAUUCAGAAUUUCAAUUUUCACCAUCUCUCAGUGACCUGGAUUUCCUCCAUAUUAUUAAUUUGUAAUGUUAUUAGUCUAGUGUUACUAGAAAUGCAGAUAAUCUUCCAUAUUGCUAUCCUUGUAAUCACAUAAUUACUAGUGUUCAGUAGGUUCAUAUGUUUGUGUUUGAAAUGUGUUUCUGUUCUAUAGGAUAAUGAUUCGUUAGUGUGUGAGUGGAUAGAAGACAAUAGAGUUGUAUUAGGGGGAAUACAUGGAACUCUGCACCUGCGGGACAAACAAAAGGAGUUUGUCACUUGUAAAGGUGCUCCAGCAUGUAGUUAGCAUGACAUGCAAUGAACCUUUGGUUUGCACUGGAUAUUUUGUGAACGAUUAUGUCUUGUUUAAAUGAAAAUCUUCAGCGAAUGCAUGGUAACAUAUCACUGGGAAAUGUGCUUAUACCAAAUUUUCUCAUGCAAGUAUGAGACUGACUUGUUCGCAUGGUUGUUUCGGCAUCAUUAAAAUGUUAGCUAGAUACAUGUAAUUAAGCUUGAAGAACCAUGCUUGAAUGGAUCAAAAUAAUAGCUUGUUUGGGAUUGUUUUUUCCUCAAAAAAGUGUUUUUUUAAAGAAAAAAGCACUUCUUUGGAAAAAAAAUGGUGUUUGGUAAACUUGCAAAAGUGCUUUUAAAGAUAAGCAGAAGCAGUUUUUCUAAUUCUAGGAAGAAACCAAAAAAUUCUGCUUUUCAAAAAAAAACAGAAGAAGCUGAAAAUUGGUUUUCAUGGCAAAAAUAUCCCUAUCAACUACACACAUAUAUAUCCCUUAUUAAUUAAUUUGCAUAUCUUAACAAUUUGGUUUUAAAAUUUUAUACUUCACAUUUACAUUAUAAUUCUUUAUUUCAUUCUAUGAUUUUUAAAUAUUAUUUUACUUUUUACUCAUUUUGUUUAAACAAAAUGGAAAAUAUCAUUGAUGAUGAUGAUCGAAAAAUAUAUAACUAUUUAAUUUUUUUAUUAUUAUUGAUAAUAAAUGACAGAUGAAUCACGUUGCAAGAUCAAUUGGUAUUCUAGCAGCACUUGUAAUUUUUUUCUCGAGUAUUUAAUUCUAAAUAAAUAACUCAUGAAAAGUGACAUAUUUGUUACAUUUGGUGAUUUUUCUCAUAUGUAGUGAUUUAAUUUUUGAAAUAUAUGUAUAUUUUGUUAUGUUUUUAAGUAAUAUUUAAAUUAUUUAAGUAAUAUAUCAUUAUUUAAUUUUCUUAUAAUGUAUCUAUGUAUAUAAAUAUUAAUUGAAAAUUUUAAAGCACGUACUUUUUAAUUAUAUAAAAAUAAAAUUUUAGUAAAAAUAUUAUAAUAAAUAUUUAAAAUAAAUUUUCUCUAUAAAAUGAUGUUAGUAGUAAAAGUCUAUUGAUAUAUGUCCUUUUUGGUCAUUUGUCUGUCAAAAGCAUUUUUUUCAAAAGAUUAUCCAAACACAAUAUGUUUAUCAAAAGCACUUUAGAAAUGAAUUUACCCAACGCAAAGUGCUUUUUUCAAAAGCACUUUUCAGAAAAGCUAUUUUUAUAGAAGUGCUUCUCAAAUAAGCAGUUUUCUAACCGCAAUCCCAAACGGGCUCUAAGUUGGUUUAGGAGGAUGGAGUUGGCUGAACUUGCUGAGAUAGCAUCAGGAACAAGGAGACCCAGUAAGUAGAAGAUGAUAGAAUACAUGAGGUGCGAAAAUGAAAGCAGGAGUAGAUCAACCUUCAUUACUGCACUAGGGUUGGAGGCGUGCUUCUGGGGAACUUCCAUGGUAGCCUAUGGAGAUAGUAGUUUUAAUCUAAUAUCCUAUAUAGAUAGAAGCAAGCAUGAGAAGAAAGGAUACGACACAUUUGUGGCGCGCCAUGCUGCGAACAACAUGUACAUACUCUUCAUCAAGACAUAGGCUACUCAUAAAGUUUGGAUAAAACAGACGUGUGCAUGUUGAAACAAGGGAGAUGAAAGUUUGAUUGUAUUAAUAGUUGUGAAGUCAUAGGUAAUUGAAGGAUCCCUUGCUGUCUAUGCAUGCUAGUAAUUUGUCGAUACAUCUCUUGACUAGUUUUGUAUUCAAAUAUUUACACCAAAUAAACCACAGAUUCAGAUAUUUUAUAUUGAUCUUAUGAGAGAGGAGAAAUAUUGAUUACUACAUAUUUUUUGGGUGCAAGGUCUACAUCUUUAUUUGGUAACAGGUAAAAGCUUGGAGCCUGUCCUGGGAGUACAAGCUCUACCCCACUACAGGUCUUAAAUAUUAGACGCAUAUCAUGUUCGUCCCGAUGUGGGACAAGUUCCUACUAAAGACUUAAUUCUUAAUGAUCCUUAGGACAUGACUCUUCUAUUACUUUAAGUCUACAUGCUAACACUAAUUCAUUAACAUUCUAACACGCCCUUUCACACUUAAAAGUAGGGAGUGAAUGUGAGUAUGUCUUUUUAAGUGGGGAGCACCCCAAGAAACUAAGAGAUCUAACCAAUAAAAAAAACUUAUGUACCAUGAACCACUAGUGAUAACCUAGUAGUAGCAAAAAACUUAUGUACCAUGAACCCCGCUGAUGAUAACCUAGCAGUAGCAUUGGCAUAUGACCUUCUUGUUGAAAACAACUACUUCUUGCCUUCAUACCAAAAGGACAUGCUUUUUAUGCCAGGUAUAUGGAUUGAAUCGUGAAGUUGACAUGCUUUUUAUGCCAGGUAUAUGGAUUGAAUCAUGAAGUUCAUGUCUUGGUUUAGACAAUAAAUACAGUAUUAACCUACACUUUGCUAACACCCCCUCCCUCAAUAACCCUCCCACUGGCAUGAGGAAAUAAGGAUUUUGUUAAAUUAUUCUUCUAGAAUACUUCUGCUGCAUCAGUGUGGUGGGUGGUAUGAAGGAAAAACAACAACAACAGACCCAAUGUAUUCCCACAGUUUGGGGUUUGGGGAGGGUAAAAUGUACACAGUCCAUACCGCUACCUCCGAGGAAAUAGAGAGGCUGUUUCCGGUAGACCCCCAGCUCAAGAUAUAGAACAAUACACCAAGGUAGCAUAACAAAAAUCAAAGGUAAGAAAUAGUAGCACUAGAUAUCCGAGAAAAGGAAAUAAGAGAAAAACGAACAAACAAAAUAAGAAAUAAGGAAAAUGAAUACCCAUGUAGUAGUAACACACACCGACCUAAGACACCUACCACACCCAACUCUCCUAACACCUAACCAUAACCGACCCACUCGCACUAGCCUUCUACCCUAAUCCGUGACCUCCAUACCUUCCUGUCUAGGGUCACGUCCUCAGUAAGCUGAAACAGCUCCAUGUCGUGCCUAAUCACCUCCCUCCAGUAUUUCUUUGGCCUACCUCUACUCUUCCUGAAGCCAUCCAAAGCUAACCUUUCGUACCUCCGAACUGGGGCAUCCGUGCCCCUCCUCAUCUCAUGUCCAAACCAUCUCAACCUUUCUUCUCGCAUCUUAUCCUCCACCGAAGCCACUCCCACCUUCUCCUGGAUAGUCUCAUUCCGAACUUUAUCCCCUCUAGUCAGGCCACACAUCCAACGUAACAUUCUCAUUUCCGCCACCUUCAAUCUUUGAAUAUGUGAGUUCCUGACUGGCCAACACUCCGCUCCAUACAACAUGAUCGGACGGAUUGCCACUCUGUAGAAUUUGCCUUUAAGCUUAAGGGGCACCUUCUUAUCACACAACACUCCCGAGGUGAGCCUCUAUUUCAUCCAGCCUACUCCAAUACGUUUAGAGACAUCCUCACCAAUCUCGCCAUUCCCCUAAUCACAGACCCAAGAUACUUGAAACUAUCCUUCUUAUAAACAUCUUGGGAAUCCAACCUCACCACCACACCGUCCUCCAUACUCGAGUCACUAAACUUGCAUUCCAAAUACUCUGUCUUGGACCUACUCAACCUGGACCCCUUAGAUUCAAGGGUUUGCCUCCACACCUCCAAUUUCUCAUUCACACUCCUCCGCGUCUCGUCAAUCAGCACUACAUCAUCUGCAAAUAACAUACACAACACCUCACCUUGAAUCCUCCGCGUCAGCACAUCCAACAUCAACGCAAAAAGGAACGGGCUAAGAGUCGACCCCUGACGCAAGCCAGACUCGACUGGAAAAUGCCCUGAGUCUCCUCCCACCGUCCGCACCCGAGUCGUACCUCCCUCGUACAUGUCCUUAAUAGCUCUGAUAUAUGCCACCGGAACUCCUCUUGCCUCUAAGCAACUCCAAAGCACCUCCCUAGGUACUCUGUCAUACGCCUUCUCCAAUCGAUGAACACCAUGUGCAAAUGUAUCUAUUGUCUAGAUUUUGGUGUAACGUUUAAGUGGAGCAAAAUGAGAUGUGGGUGUGUAUGUAUACAUCUUGAUAGUUUCUUGGUUACUUAUAUGCGCACUAAAGAAGUUGAAUUUUAUUUUGUAGUGCACAUGCCAAUACACCACACUUGUGCCCGCACAACUUUUAAUAAAUGUGCGACAUGAUAAAAACAGGUCUUAGUAUAUUCGUGAAGUUUUUUAAUUUUAUAAGAAUGGUACAAAGUUCACUUUUAAAAAAGAAAUUAGACAAAAGUUCUCGUUAGACAAAGAAACAAAGAAUGGAAGAAACAUGUAGCAUAGGUACUUGAUGUCAUGGAUCAAAGAAAGGUAGUGGUUUCCACUAAGGGAGGUAUGUUGAAGGGUUUAAAGGAUGUGAAAAUUCAAAUUAAAGGAUUGAUACAUGGAAUGCUGAUAAUCACAUGCCUGUGAAAAGUGACUGAAGCUUAUAUGUGCUGCUGAGAGCUGGCUCUGUGAAUAGCAGAAUGUUUUGUGGUGUAAUAUUUCAUUAAAAAGUGGGAUUUCUUUCCUUGUAAUGUCUUUUGUUGAACCGAGUAGCAUCCUGAUUCUCUGAUUUGCUUUAUGCUGUUCUGCUUCUUCUUUGUAAAGGCGAUAGAUACACACGGGGCGGUCUUUCAUAUCCUCCUCCUCAUUUUGUUCACCCUAUAGCUUGCCAAUAUCACUCCAAUUGUUGUAGGGAGCACCCAUGGUAGGUAGAGAAUGGCCAGGGUCAGUAAUUUUGUAGUGGAACUUCUUAUAGAAAAAAUAACUUUGUAGCAAAACUGCAAUGCAAAUGAGGUGAUCCUCAUUUUCUCUAUGGUUCUUGCACUUGCAAAACAGUGUAUCAGUGAUGCAUUUUCUUCUUCUUAAUAAAUUGUGAAGUGCCUAACGUAGUGCACCAUGGAUAUAGCGUUCUUCAAAAUGAAGAAUCUAAAAGGUACAUGAAAGAAGCAAGGAAACAAUUUAUGGCUAGAAAACAUAAGCACACACUCUUUAGAAAUUCUUCUUUCAUUAGAGACUUGAAUUUCGACCUUUUAUUAGUACUAAGGAGAUAAAAUUUUAGACCUUUUAUUAGUACCAAGGAGAUAAAAUUUUACUAGUCUAAAAGCUUGCCUACCUGGAUGACAGAUAAAAUUGGCCAGUUUUAACCUUAAGCAUCACUAAGCGACUACAACUCUACUCGAGGGGAUCAAUGAUUUUCUUCUUAAAGUAUUUUCUCCCACCUGAUACGUACUAGUAUGUGUAUAAAAAUGCUAAACUCUUCUAAAUCAGUGGUAUCUCCUUAUUUUUUGGAUCAAACCAAAUUUUUAGCCCGAACGUUUUACAUUUGUAAUCAAGAUAUAUUUCUCAUGCAUAAAGUAUACCUAAUUUGGUGCUUUCUAUGUGGUAUUCUCAUAUAUUGGACGGCGCUGGAACACAGUGACUUUUGUUGACAUUUUAUAACAAUUGCCUAGCCCAGUUAUUGGUAUGUUUUAAGUUGCAAAAAAGAGUCAAAUGCCUAUGCUUUCACUGCCAUUUAAACCUCUUUCUGACCAAAUGCAGGACUGGAGUCGGUAGAAUUAGCGCUUGUGGUGGUGAUGGUUUAUCUGGUGGAGGUGGUGGAAGAGUUUCUGUGGAUAUUUUUAGCAGACACGACGAGCCAGAAAUCUUUGCAUAUGGUAAGGCUAAGUUUGUCUUGUAUGUUCAAGAAUAUUCUACUUCACCCAUCUUUUAUAUGAAUAUCUUUCAAAUAGUUGAGCAAGAGAGCCAAGCUAUAGAGUAUUGACCUUCUCAUGCUUUUAGAUUUUAUACUUCACAUGGUCUUUAAACAGUUAGUUAUUUCUACAUAGCAACUAUUCUCCUAGCAGGUCCAUGCCUGGAUGAAAGAUUUACUUUAGAAACACUUGUGGUAAAUAAACCUCAUCAUGUGGGCUUCAGUAUGUAGUUAAUUGUGGCCUUUGGAUAGGUAAAAUGCUUGAUUUUUCUAUAUCAUUUUGUUCAGCUGGAAUUAAAGCCAAUGCAACCUCUGUUUUCUGCCUGCAGGAGGAAGCAGUCGUGGUUGUGCAGAAAAUGCUGGCGCAGCAGGAACUUUCUAUGAUAAUGUUCCUCGUAGUCUAACUGUCAACAAUCAUAAUAGAUCAACUUCUACAGACACACUUCUGUUGGAUCUUCCCCAGCCACUUCUGACAAAUGUUUACAUUCGCAAUUACGCCAGGGCUGCUGUCCCCUUGCUGUGGAGUCGCGUUCAGGUUGAGGGUUCUUUCUUUUCCGUUUUCAGUUCUUUCAUGAGAGUAACUAUGUGUACCUCAAUUAAUUGAACUUAUUUGACACUGAAUCUAUUGAAGUGAAGCAUCAUAGAGAGAGUAAAUUUUCCCUAAGCCAUGGUAAAAUUUUUUGUUGUUUCAUUAUCAAAAAAGAAGUUUGCUGUUUAUACUUUAGAUAUAUUGUUCCGUCAUACUCUUUUAUUCUAUAUUAUGCAAACUAAACUCNNNNNNNNNNNNNNUUUCCCUCGGGAUAUUUCAUAUGUUUCUCUAUGAUUGCUGCAUCUAUUUGCACUUAAUGCUUAAUUUUAUUUGUACUGAUGCUUUACCAAUACUUAUAAGUAGUAUAUAUAACCAGAUGCAUGGUCAGACAGAUGUCAAAAUUGUGUUAUGUUCCAAAUUAUGAAACUCAUGGUAUUUCUAGAUUAUGUGUUCACAGGAUAUCCAUUGAAGCUGAAAGGGCUAUGUUCUGCUUGACAUCUAACUUCUUUUCAUCUUAAAAGAACUUGAUUUCCUUACAUGUGAAAGGAAUAUGUAGAAGAUGCAAAGAAAAGAUCCCAAGAGGAAUGGGAGUCCAAGCGAUUUCAGAGAAAAAAUUGAUACCAAAGACAGUUCUUUUUGUUUUGCCAGUAAUACAGACUUCUUCAUUAAAAAUAUCUUUACAACACCCCUUUUAAUUGAAGAAUCUAAUUAAUUCAUAAGCCUAUAUAAUCCGUUUACUUUUCCCCCUUGAAAAGCUAAACAAGUGAAGGGGUUUGUUUUCACCUUGAGGUGACCUCAAGAAGGCCUUAGGACACUUUGGAUAUAGCAUCAUAGUGGUUCUCCAGCUUCCUUCUGUUUGCACCUCUGCCGUUGUGUUUUUUUUCCCUGUUAUGAUUAUUUUAUCUCUCAUAUAGGUCCAAGGUCAAAUUAGCCUUUUGUGUCAUGGAACACUGAGCUUUGGGUUGGCACGCUACGCGAUGUCAGAGUUUGAGUUAUUGGCAGAAGAGCUUUUGAUGAGUGAUUCUGUGAUUAAGGUAAGUGGUUGAAUCUCCUUGUAAGUACAGAUGUUGUUUCGUUAUCAUUGUAAUGCCCCCAAGCUAUUUUCUUUAGUUAUAUGGAAGUGUUCACGGAGUGUUCCAAUUGGAAACUCCUUUUCACAUCUAUUUUUCGUCUACAAGUGUCUUGAUAAACUCUCACUAUGGUGAAUUCAGAUUUAUAUGGUCCAAUGAAAGCAAGACUGCGGGUGGUGCAAAUUUACUUUGUUAAUUUCAUUGAUGAUUGCUCAAGAAUCAUUUUAUACUGCUCUUUGGAGUGUCAAAACUUUUGAUGCAUAUACUUGUAUUAACCACUGGAAACAUCAACACAUAAUACAACUACAUAUUGCAGCAUGCAUGUUUUUCUGAAGAUUGUGCAACCUUCAAUGUUUUCCUAAAGCUAUACAUGAAUGUUGAGCUAACAUCUUAGCUAACAAUCAGUUUUCCACUUCUCACUGUUCUGUUGUAAUAUACCCUAACAACAGCUUAACUAACCAUUAACCAUAAAGAUCUCCUUAGAGUCUUGCAUUUUCUGGUACUGUGAUAUAAAAGCAUAAAAAUAAUAUAAAUUAAAGAAGAAAGGCUCCAUGGGUAACCACAGCUGAAUAGACUGAAGCAGGCUUCUUUAGCUUUAGUACCAGCUUUUCACACUGCUAUAUCUUUGCUUCUUGUACUUAAAAGUGACUCUCCUUUUACUAUAGUUGCCAAAAGCUGUCAAGUAUCACAACAACUCACUGAAUGUAAGUUGAAAAAUCAUCCUUGGUCAGUUAUCUUGAGAAUCUUCUAUAUCUAGCAUUACAUGAUCUAGAGUUAUAUAUCUGUACAUCAAAACGAUUUAGUAUUCUAGCUUAGAUGUUGGCUAUAAUAUAUCUAUACAUCAAAACGAUUUAGGAUUCUAGCUUAGAUUAGAUGUUGGCUAUAAUUGUUUUGGUUACUGGAAAAAAAUGGUUACAAUAAUAGUGAAGAUGAAUCUUAAUUUUGUGCAAUGUGCAGCACCAGUUUUAAAACUGCGCUCCAACACCUCGUCUUUAUUGCAAAAAUGAUUUGCAUGUGUUGGAGAAAAAGUAGAGUUUAUAUUUCUCUUUCCUUGAUUAUUUUGGGUUCAUAAGCAGCCAAAAGAUUUGGGAUCUGUUGUGUAUAAUGUUUCUACUAGAAUAUGAGUAAAAAUAAGAAUAGUAUAUAGAAAUCCUACUUGGAAAAGGAUUAUAAUAUAGUGUUUAUAAAUAGGAUCUCGAUGUAAUUGUGUAAACACACAAUUCAAUAAUAUUUUUCUCCAUUAAUUCUCACAGGGUAUAUUAGAGUGUUAGUGAGAAAUUUUAGAAAAGAAAACCCAGUCACUGUGCGUCAAUUCCGGUGACUGAUUUGUGUCCUUUUUUAUUUUGUGGGUUGUGUGAAAAUUACACCACCACCAAGAGGAUCGGGAAGCUCAACAGACAAAAAACCCGACGAAAAUCGCCGGGAUAAUACCAGCCACACGCCGACACGUGCCUGCUGGAAUUCUAAAAUUCCAGCGAGAUCUAGUCACGCGCCGAUGCGUGAACCCAUUUCCAAUCGAAUUUUUGAGUAGUUCUUUUUUUGUUGGGGUCGCUGAACCAUUUCCACUCUGACCAGUUACUAUUUUUUCAGAUUCCGGCAAUAUUUGAAGAUUCCAACCGCCGGAAUCCUAAUAUCGGCGACCUCAAUUUUUUUUUUCUUUUCUGCACAUCCAGAUCCUGUUUCUUGGUGUUUUCAUAUUAAAAUUUCCAAGAUGUCUUUUGGGUAUGAUGUUUUUGGUCCCAAAACUUCUAGAAUCGAAAGUUCAAGUCCUAUGAUCACUUCCGAACCAUUAAUGGGAAGUUCAAAUUAUUUAGCCUGGGCUUCCUCGGUUGAGUUGUGGUGCAAAGGUCAAGGUGUCCUAGAUCACUUAACGAACAAGACUAGUGUGGUAGAUGAAAAGGCAAAAUCUAGCGCGGAAUAUGCGAAAGCUAAAGAACAAUGGGAGAAAGUUGACGCUCAAUUAUGUAGUCUCUUAUGGCGACCUAUUGAUUCCAAGUUGAUGCCCUUGUUUCGUCCAUUCUAGAAGUGUUAUUUAGUUUGGGAAAAGGCUCGUGCUUUAUACACUAAUGACAUAUCUCGUUUUUAUGAUGUGAUAUCUCGAAUCACCAAUGUGAAGAAACAAGAAUCCGAUAUGUCUACUUACUUGGGACAAGUACAAGCAGUCAUCGAAGAAUUUGAUGCAUUGAUGCCCGUCACUGUGGAUGUGGAAAAACAAAAAGAGCAUAGACAAAUGUUGUUUUUAGUUCUUACACUUGCUGGACUUUCUACUGAUCAUGAUGUUGUACGUGAUCAGAUUUUAGCUAGUCCUACGAUUCCUACAAUUGAUGAGUUAUUCUCUCGUCUGCUUCGUCUUGCCGCGCCUCCCAAUCACAAAGUGAUUUCAUCACCCGCUGUUGACUUCUAUUCUUGCAUCUCAAAUCAUAGAAAAACAAACAUAUCAGCCUGUGGAAAAUCGGCGAGGAUGAGGUCGUUUCGAAAAAUCUCGAUCGAAAUGUAGUUAUUGUCAUAAAGUUGGACACACUCAGGAUAUAUGUCGUAGUUUGCAUGAUCCACCACCCAGUUAUGAUUAAAGGAAUAUAAUGAGUUCCUUCAGAAUCGAGCAAGUAAGCAGAUAUCUCCACAGCCUAAUCAACCAUCCAAUAGUGCACAUAAUGCCCAAACAGAAUAUGAUGAGUUCCUUCAAGUAUCAAGUAAGUAAGCAGACAUCUCCACGAGUAGCCUCGGUUGCCCAGCCUGAUGCUUCUGUUGCUGGUAAUCCUUUUGCUUGUAUUUCACAGUCUAGUACUCUUGGAUCAUGGGUUGUGGACUCAGGUGCUUCUGAUCAUAUUUCUGGUAACAAACCACUUUUGUCUGAUAUUGUUUAUUCACAAUCACUUUCUACUAUUACUUUAGCCAAUGAGAUCCGAACACAACCAAAAGGAGUUGGACAAGCCAAACCCCUAUCUUCUGUAACUCUAGACUCUGUUCUUUAUGUCCCUGGUUGUCUUUUUAAUCUUGCAUCUCUUAGUCGUCGUUUGACACGUGCCCUUCAUUGUAGCAUAACUUUUUUUGAUCACUCUUUUCUAAUGCAGGACCGCAUUACGGGACAGACAGUCGGUUGGUGCAGGACAUGAAUCACAAGGCCUUUACCAUCUUACCUCUUCAAAUCCUUUCACAACAUGCUUCGUCACAGACCCUCCAGACUUAAUUCAUAAACAUUUGGGACAUCUGAGUCUAUCUAAGCUACAAAUGAUGGUUCUUGAUUUGUCUAGUUUAUCCACAUUAGAUUGUGAGUCAUGUCAACUUGGGAAACACACCCGUGCUACUUUCUUCAGCGUCUAUUUUCUCAUUAGUUCAUUCUGAUGUUUGGGUACUCGUAGAGUCAGUUCACCUAUAGGUUUUCGUUAUUUUGUUAGUUUCAUUGAUGAUUUUGCAAGAUAUACUUGGAUUUUCUUAAUGAAAGAUCGUUCUGAGAUAUUUUCUUUAAUCAAAACUUUUUCUACUGAAAUACAAACUCAAUUUGGUGUUUCUAUUCGUACUUUUCGUUGUGAUAAUGCCUUAGAAUACUUAUCCUCUCAGUUUCAGGAGUUUAUGACUCAUCAAGGAGUUGUUCACCAUACAUCUUGUUCGUACACCCCUCAGCAAAAUGGUAUAGCAAAAAGAAAAAAUAGGCAUUUUCUUAAGACUGCUCUCUCUUUUCUCAUUGAAUUUCAUGUUCCGUUGCAUUUUUGGGGCGAUGUAGUCCUCACAUCUUGUUAUCUAAUUAAUAGAAUGCUAUCAUCUUCCAUUCAGAAUAAGGUUCCCUAUUCUAUAUUGUUUUCACAAUCUCUAUUUUAUCCCCCCCUCGUGUCUUUGGGAGCACAUGCUUUGUUCAUAACUUAGCCCCUGGAAAAGAUAAAUUAACCCUCGUGCUCUUAAGUGUGUUUUCCUCUCGAGUUCAAAAAGGGUAUCGUUGUUAUUCACCGAAUCGUCGUUGCUACUUUAUGUCUGCUGAUAUCACUUCUUUUGAAUCUCGACGUUACUAUAUAUCUUCUGAUCAUCCUGAUAUCUUUGAGAUUUUACCCAUUUCUCUAGUCUUACCCUCACCAUCCUUGGUUCCAGUCUUACCUGCACCAUCCUUGGUCCUACUCGUAUCUCCAAACUUACCCGAACCAACCUUUGAGGAAUCAACGGUUACUUCUACGUCUCCAGCUGCAGUGCCACCACUUCUGACUUAUCAUCGUCGUCCGCAUCCACCAUUAGUCCCAGAUGAUUCAUGUCAUGCGUUGGACGCUGUUCCUACUGCAAACUUGCCUUCUCCUAGCCAAUCAGUUGCACUUAAAAAAGGUAUGCGUUCCACCCGUAAUGCUAACCCACAUUAUACUUUUUUGAGUUAUCAUCGUUUAUCAUCACCCCAUUAUGCUUUUGUGUAUCCUCUUUGUCCUCUAUUUCCAUCCUCAAGACUAUAGGUGAAGCACUUUCUCAUUCAGGAUGGAAGCAGGCUAUGUUAGAUGAGAUGUCUGCUUUACAUACAAGUGGUACAUGGGAGCUUGUUUCCCUUCCUUCAGGUAAAUCUAUUGUUAUGCAGUCAAAGUUGGUCUAGACGGUCAGGUUGAUCAGGUUGAUCGGCUUAAGGCUUGCCUUGUUGCCAAAGGAUACACACAAAUAUUUGGGCUUGAUUACAAUGACACUUUCUCUCCAGUGGCUAAAAUAGCAUCUGUUCCUCUUUUCCUAUCCAUUGCUGCCGUUCGCCAUUGGCAUCUUUAUCAGUUGGAUAUUAAGAAUGCUUUUCUGCAUGGUGAUCUUGAGGAAGAAGUCUAUGUGGAGCAACCACCUGGUUUUGUUGCUAGGGGGAGUCUAGUAGCCUUGUAUGUCGAUUGCGCAAGUCACUCUAUGGUCUGAAACAGUCUCCUCGAGCUUGGUUUGGAAAAUUCAACGCAGUAAUUCAGCAGUUUGGCAUGAUCCGUAGUGGAGCUGAUCACUUAGUGUUUUUCGACAUUCUCAACCAAAUGUGGUUUAUGUUGAUGAUAUCGUUAUCACCGGCAAUGAUGAAGAUGGUAUCACUAAAUUGAAGCAACAUCUCUUUCAACAUUUUCAGACCAAAGACCUCGGUAGGCUGAAGUAUUUUCUAGGUAUUGAGGUUGCUCAAUCCAGAUCAGGUAUUGUUAUUUCUCAACGCAAGUAUGCGUUAGACAUUCUCGAGGAGACAAGAAUGAUGGGCUGUAGACCCAUUGACACUCCUAUGGAUCCAAAUGCUAAACUUUUACCAGGACAGAGGAGCCACUCAGUGAGCCUGAAAGGUAUAGGCGGUUGGUUGGAAAGUUGACUUAUCUCACCGUGACAGGACCUGACAUAUCCUUUCACCGUGACAAGACCUGACAUAUCCUUUCCCGUGAGUGUUGUAAGUCAGUUUAUGACUUCCCCCAUGAUAGUCACUGGGAUGCAGUUCUUGGUUUUCUGCGAUAUAUAAAGUCGGCUCCCGUUAAAGGACUAAACUUUGAGGAUCGAGGUCACGAGCAUAUCAUUGGAUACACAGAUGCUGAUUGGGCAGGAUCACCCUCUGAUAGAUGUUCUACCUUCGGAUAUUGUGUUUUAGUAGGAGGUAAUUUGGUGUCUUGGAAGGGUAAGAAACAAAGUGUGGUUGCUCGAUCUAGUGCGGAAGCAGAAUAUCGAGCAAUGACUGUAGCAACUUGUGAGCUAGUUUGGAUUAAGCAGUUGCUAAGAGAAUUAGUAUUUGGAGAAACCGGCAAGAUGGAACUUGUAUGUGAUAAUCAAGCUGCCCUUCAUAUCGCUUCAAAUCCAAUGUUUCACACAUAGAGAUUGAUUGUCAGUUUGUCGGAGAAAAGAUACUCUCAGGAGAUAUUGUUACAAAAUUUGUGAAGUCAAGUGAUCAACUUGCAGAUAUCUUCACCAAGCUCCUCAUCGGUCCUCGUAUUAAUUACAUUUGUAACAAGCUAGGUACUUCUGAUUUGUAUGCACCAGCUUGAGGGGGAGUGUUAGAAUAUGAGUAGAAAUAAGAAUAGUAUAUAGAAAUCCUACUUGGAAAAGGAUUGUAAUAUAGUGUCUAUAAAUAGGAUCUCAUGUAAUUAUGUAAACACACAAUUCAAUAAUAUUUUUCUCCAUUAAUUCUCCAUUAUUUUGGGUUCAUAAGACGCCAAUGACUUGGGAUCUUUUGUAUAUUGUUCCUUAUUUGAUUGUUGUAUAAUGUUUCUAUCAUGAUUAAGAAUUCGAGGAAGGGUUGUCAUAAUUAUUUAUUGAGACGAAGAGAAACUGGAAUUUUAUUUACUGACGAUGUAUGGUCUAACUUACUGCUUCUUUUCUCGUCAUGUUAUAUGCUCUGUACCAACUUCAUCCAGUCUAAGUUUUGCUUGUAUGGUUUUAUGCUUACUUUAGUUUCUUUGGCAUUAUAAGUUCUUCACUGUGCUUCUAGAAGACCAGAAGCAUGUUCCAGUUGCAGCUCUUGUACUCAUUGUCCCCAAUGCUGUGUUUUGUAUUAUGUAGUUCUGAAGUUUUUGCAGUGAAUGUUAUUUGACUUGUUUUUUUUUCAGGUUUUUGGAGCACUACGAAUGUCUGUCAAAAUGUUUCUGAUGUGGAAUUCAAAAAUGGUAAUUGAUGGUGGUGGAGAUCAAAAUGUUGAGACAACAAUGGUCGAAGCUAGUAACCUAAUUGUUCUUAAGGUGCUCUUUCUUUUUCGUUUGCUGUUUUUCUUGGUUGUCUUCACAAUUGUUCAUUUGAGAUGUCUUCUAAAUGCCAUCUAAUGCAGGAGUCAUCUCAAAUUCGUUCGAAUGCAAAUCUUGGAGUGCAUGGCCAAGGGUUGCUGAAUUUAUCUGGACCAGGAGAUGCGAUUGAAGCUCAAAGACUAGUACUGUCUUUGUUUUACAGCGUCAAUGUGAGCAGAAAUCUUGUUCUGUAUCCUACUGUUUCUGUUCUUUGUAGAUGAUGUGCAAUAGAUUUCUAACUGGUUCUACACUUGCUUUCUCUCGACACACUUGAUUUUUCUUCCUCAUUUGAUCUUUUAUGUGUUUUAGUAUCAGUAUAUGGAUUUUUACAUCGCGGUUAGUAUUUUCCUAUUCCUCGCCACCUUUCUGUGAAUAUCAGAUGCAUGAUAAUGUAUGCCAUGGUCUUCACGUACACAUCUGCAUAUCUGCUGUUAGUGUUCCACUUUUCUCACUCGCAAGGUCGUAACUAAGCAUCUUCUUUCCUCAGUUUUUCACCUGGUCUAUGUUCUGACUCAGCUCCUUAGACCUGAGGAGUUUGGUAUUCCAGUUCUGGAACCUCAUGUGUCGGUUGAGUUGAUCAUUUUUUUCUAUGUAUUAUACUACUUUUUAAUUUUCUUGCCCUAUUUUCUCUUGUCACAUGCAGAUUGGGCCUGGAUCCGUUUUGCGUGGUCCUUCACGAAACGCCACAGCGGAUGCUGUGUGAGUUCCUAAUUACUCCUUGUUCCUCCCCCCCUACUGUCUCUUACCCUAGAUGCUUCUUUGAUUUGCUAAUGGGAUAUUUGGUGCUUGGUAGGAAACCAAAGUUGAACUGUGAUAGUCCAGGUUGUUCUUUUGAAUUGCUCCACCCUCCUGAAGACUGCAAUGUGAACUCUUCACUGUCCUUUACUUUACAGGUGUGCGGUUAUCGACCCACUACCAAAAUAGAAGUCUUUAUAUAAUAUGUGCCUAGAUUGUACACUACACUUGUGCAACUCUAAUACUUCUUUUAUCUGCAGAUCUGUCGAGUUGAGGAUAUUCUUGUUGAAGGCCUCAUAGAAGGAUCUGUUGUUCAUUUCCACAGAGCAAGGACUAUAGAUGUGCAACCUUAUGGAAUUAUUAGCACAUCGGGAAUGGGUCUGAUCUUAAUUUCCUUCAGUUUAUAUUUGAUGUGAUUGUCUUAGUUUUUUUCUUUUUUGUCAACCCCUUGUUUUUAGUAUCUAUAGGCUUUUGUUCGGCAGGGUUUAGUCAUUGCUCGGAUGGAAUGUUGCGCACGUUCAUCUUUAGGAUAUUAAAAAUGUCUGAUAAGCUUGAGAAAAACUAGUGAUAUAUACUAUUCAAUGCUUUUAGAGUUCAAAUUUCUUUGUUAAUAAAAGAUUUUACCUUAAAUAAAGAACCGCAAAAUUUAGAUGCAAAUUUCAAUAAUCCAUCAAACAAAUCAAACUACAACAAUUUACUUAAUCUAUUUCUAAUUGAAUCAUAUAUAACCUCAUUGUUCACCUAUUCCAUUUUGUUGUCUCCAUAGGUUGCACUGGGGGAGUAGGCCAAGGAAAGGUUCUGAGCAAUGGUCUUGGUAGCGGUGCUGGUCAUGGCGGUGAAGGCGGAUAUGGAUAUUAUAAUGGGAGCUGCAUUGGGGGUGGCAUGACAUAUGGAGAUCCCAGUUUGCCAUGUGAACUCGGCAGUGGAAGUGGGACUACUAGCCUAGCUGGAUCAACUUCUGGUGGUGGUGUUCUGGGUAAGUUUGAGGUUGUCCCAACUUCAACUUUCUUCCCUGUGGUAGCUUUAUCAUAAUUAAAACACCUGAUAUUCUGUAUAUGAGAAGUGACAAACCUGCAGGCGGAUGAUAAAUUAUACUCCCUCUGUGUGUGGCACGCUUGCCUUUUUGGUCCGUCCCCCCAAAAAUGUCACCUUUAUUUGGCAACUAUUUAAUGGCAUCCUCCCCAUUUUAUCCUUAUUGGGUCCCAUUUAACAAGAUUAGUCAACUAAUAAAGAGUAGCUUAACAAAGUCUUCUCCUAUUUCUUAAACUCCGUGCCCAGUGAAAUGAUGCCACAUAAAUUGGGACAGUGGGUGUAUUUGGUAAUGAAACAAAUUGCAUAAACAUCUAUUGCUUUACUGAUUUUGUAUUGUAAGUGUGAAAUUCUUCAUAUGACUUGAAGUCUCCUCCAUAUGUGUAGUAGUAUCAUUAUCAUGGCAUGCCGUGGACCUAGGUGCAAAAUGGCAAUGUAUGCUUUGUAAUGCAGAAAUUUAAUGCUAAGCUGCAACAGUUUUAAAUGCCAUUUCUUUUGGUCGCAUCUAUAGAAAGAGCCUUCUUUUUUUUUUUAAAUGAUAACAUAUCUAUAGCGAGAGCGUUCCAUUCUAUUGAGGUCAGACCAACUCUGCAUUCAUUCUUUUUUGAUCCCCAAAACAGAUUUUAUUGGACGAAUUGAUCACCUCAAUUACUUAAAUUUCGAAGGGAAGAUAUCUCAUUCGAAUUCCCCCUGUAUGAGUGGUAUAAAUAGGUAGAGUAUCUGCCAAAAUAUAUGGUUAAAUUUUGAAGGGAAAAUGUCUCAUUCAACUUUCCCCUCCAUGAGUGGUACACAUAGGUGGAAAGCUUUCCAAAUUUAUGGUUCUUUCCAAAUACUAUGCAAUUAUAUAUGUACUAGUACAUGCCUCACUAGUGCACCAAAACUUAACCAGUACAAAACCAUUUUCCACACUUCCCAAGCUUCCCCUUUUCUUCUAAGUAUCUGCAUAUUAGACAAAGGUUGUUUUGUCACAUGCUCCUACAUGUCUACUCCUUUAUCAGAAAACCCAGCUUAAUGUAACAUCCUUUACUGUAGUGUGUAAUGUUCGAUGUUUUAAGACACAGUAGUGUCCACCAUAAUUGAUGAGCAACCAAAACUGUUGUAACAAUUGGUCCACUUCUCUCAAGCAGUUCUAUGUGUAUGUUGUGACACUACUAGUUACUCCUUUUUCUAAUUGAGUAAUAGUUACAGAUGAUUUCUGUGGUUGGCCAAACUAGUUUGGGGUUGGGGCAUAGUUGAGUGUUCCUUGAUUAACGAUUAUUGGUUUUUUAAAGAUGGUGUAGCAAAAAAGGGUUGGAAAAUGUUUCUCAAUUUUUUUUUUAAAUCAUGCAUAGGUGGACUUUAAUUAGCCAACUUACAAUAAAAAAUCUGCAUAAAUCAAAAUUCAAAAACCUAAACAAAAUUCAAAAACCUAAAAUAUCUCAAAAAACUAAAACAACCUACUAAAAACUUAAAAUUCAAAUCAUCCUAAACCUUGCAACUUAAUAUGCUAAAAAAUUACUGAACUAACGUGAAUUUCAACAAAGAUCUCGGGUCUUCGUGUUUUCCAUAUUUGGCUAUAAUUGUAUCCAAAUCUAAUGCUACUACUUUCGUUGAGCUCCUCUUUUUCUUCACUUCUCCCAAUUAAGGUCCAAAUACCUUUUCUUUAAAAAAAUCAAAAAGUUACAUUAAUAAGUGCACCAAGUCGGUGUCAAAAAGUAAGUACAAAUUGUGCGUGUGACUCUGCUGGAGACAAUUGUCUUCCACCAAGUUUUCCCAACGUAUGAUAAAAAAGUAUCUUCUCCUUACACCAGAAGUACAAGUGAAAUGGAAAUCCUCUUUCCCGUCAAAGGCAGAGCCAACCCUCUUUAAAAUAUACUAUUUAUACAUGAUUAAAAUUAUUUUUUAUGUAGUUAUAGUAGGUGUUGAACCCCCAUCGACUGAGUUUUCUUUGAAUAUUGAACCCCCUUACUUGAAAUUCUGGCUCCGCCUCUGUUUCCUGUGAGCUCCCUCACUGGCUUUCUUUCCUCCUAAAUGGGAAGGAAAUCUUUCUUUAUUUCUGGGGACAAAUCGUUCGAAGUGUGUGAAGAAAGCGAUGGCUGGUUUGUUUGGGUUGAGUGUGGACGGAGGGUUUGCAACCAGAUUAAGUUUGAUGAGAACUUAAGAUGGGUUUGCGAGCAAAUGCAACAGGCGUCGUGUGGGUACGGGAAUCUUUACAGGAGGUGGGGAAGGAAGAUUCAAAAUUAUCGUUACAGUGUGUACCAAUAUUUUAAUAGCUAUGAAAGAUACAUAAGAAUCGAAACAAGGAAAGGGGAAGGGAAAUCAAUAAUAAUAAUACCAGAAGCAGGUUACAACAAGGGUUGGGGAGACAUAACAGGGAAGAUACUACAUUCUCUGGGAGAAGCACCCACUUACAAGUACAGGAAAUUCACAAAUCUGCAAAAUAAAUCUUUUCUCAAUGCUGCUGAAAUUACUGAUUGGCCUAAUCUUCAGGGAGGAAAAACUGAAAGUCACCAACGAAACCACUGGUGAAAACUUCCUCUUUCUCCCAGAAUGCUUAGUCGGAUGCUUCAAUGACCCUUUCCACCGGAGCCUCAAUACUGAAAUUAUUCAAAAGUGGUUUACUUCCAGAUGGCAGGUGACAGCUGGUUUGAGGAUAACUUCCAUGGCACACAAUAAAUUUCUGUUCGAGUUUCCUUCGAAACAAGAGGCUGCUAGGGUGAAAGCAGGUGAUUGGUUUUGGAAUGGUCGACAUCUUCAAUUAGAAUGGUGGUCGCCGGAAUUCGGGACCUCUCCGGUGGGGCACGGAGCAGACCAUAGAUGGCUUAAAGUGUUUGGUAUUCCUCUUCACAGAUGGAAAAUGAACACUUUUCGCUAUAUCGAAGACCUAUGUGGUGGAUUUAUUGGCAUAGAUGAAGAUACAAAGAGUAGAGUGCAUUUAUUUUGGGCUCGAAUAUGCGUGAAAGCCUCUGCCACUGAAACCCCCAAAACCCCCAGUGAAGCCGUUCUAGUGCUGGGUGAUUUGAGAUUUGGAAUCUCUAUCUUGGAGGACAAAUUAGUGGAUCUAAAGGUCGCCAGGGAUGGAGCAACAGUUGCUACCGUGACGGAGCGAGAUACGGGAUUGGAUAAGGCAUCCUCGAGCCAAGCGAAGGAUCUGUAGCAAUACCUACUGGUCUAUAGCAAAGAAUACAGGGGUUCAGAGAACUUUAACUCAAAUAAAUUUCCGGUGGACCCCAAUCUUAAAACAAAGCAGUUGUCUCAAAACCCUAAUCCCAGAUAUAACAAAGUGGCGGCUAAACAAUUGGGCCAAAAACUAGACAACUCAUAUAUUAUUCAAAAGGACCAAGGCCCAAAACAUCUUCCAGGAGAAAAUUUGAGAAAUAGUUGGCAAAAAGGGGGAAACUACAGAAAUAGCCUCAAAAUAAGGUGACUUUCAAAUUUUGACCUCAAAUAAAAAAAGCUUCAUAAAAAUAGCCUUUAACUAUUAAGUGAUAUAUUUUCAGACAAAAUUGCCCCUGACUAAUGGAGUAAAUUCCAUAGAUGAUCCUCAUAAUGGAUAACAACUUCAUACAUUCAUCUUUCAACUUUUAUUUUUUUCUCUUUUUAAUUUUACUUUGAUUUUUAUUUUUUCUUUUCUCUUUUUAUUUUUGUAUUUUCUCAACCCUUACCUUUUUCCUUUUUUCCACUCAACUCCUUUUUUUUUCUUUUUUAUUUUACUUUGAUUUUUUAUUUUUUCUUUCCUUUUUUUUUUUUGUUCCUUUUUAGUUUUUUUUCAACCCUUACUUUUUUUAUUUACUCCUCUCAACGUCUACUUUUAUAAAAAAGGCUUUUUUUUAUUUUUCUUUGAUUUUUAUUUUUUCUUUUCUUUUUUUUCUUCUUAAGUUUUUCUCGGCCUUUAUUUUUAUUUUAUCUUUUUUUUUUCUUCUUUUUAUCAACCUUUAUUUUAUUUUCCAUUCUCUCUCAAGUUCUACAUUUUCUUUGAUUUUUUAUUUUUUAAUAUCUUUCUUUAUUUUUUUUUAGUAAUUUUUAUUAUUUUUUUUUCUUUUCUUCGAUUUCUUCCAAUCAAGUUAUAUUUCAUGAGCAAGAGUUGACACUAUCUCAUUAUAAAGGCAAGACUUAUGACUUUCAAACAACAAGCUACGUUUCAUGGGCAAGAAUUUACACUGUCAUAUUGUAGAGGCAAGACUUAUGACUUUCAAAUAACAAGUUAUGUUUCUUGGGCAAAAGUUGACACUACCACAUUGUGUUUUGAUUUAUAAGAUGUUCUAUAACUCUUAUCUUAGAGGCAAGACUUAGCUCAAGGAUUUUUAAUAAACAACAAAUUAUGCCCCACAGACAAGAGUUGACUCAACUAUGUUAUGUUUUCAUUUAUGUGAUGUUCUACAACUAUUACCUUAGAGGCAAGACUUAGCUCAAGGACUUUCAAACUACAAAUUAUGCCCCACAGGCAAGAGUUGACACUACCACGUUGUGUCUUUCUUUAUGAGAUGUUCUACAACUCUUGCCUUAGAGGCAAGACUUAGCUCAAAAACUUUUAAACUAUGACACUACCAUGCUAUUUCUUCAUUUAUGAGGUUCUACAACUCUUGCCUUAGAGGCAAGACUUAGCUCAAGGACUUUCAAACUACAAAUUAUGCUCCACCGGUAAGAGUUUACACUAUCACGUUAUGUAUUUAUUUAGGAGAUGUUCACAACUCUCGCCUUAGAGACACGACUUAUCCCAAGAAUUUUCAAACAAGUUACGUAUAUUGGGCAAGAGUCAACACUAACACAUUGUGUUUUUUACUCAUGAAAUUCUCUUUUAACUCUUGUGUUAGAGGCAAGAUUCAGCCUAAGGAUCAUCAAACAAGAAGUUAUGCCCCUUGGGCAAGAGUUAACACCGCCACGUUUUGUAUUAAUUUAUGAGAUGUUUUAUAACUUUUCCCUUAGAAACAAGACUUAGACCAAGAACUUUCAAGUAACAAGUUGUACCCCAUGGGCAAGAGUUGAUAUUAUCACAUUGUGUUUUGAUUUAUGAGAUAUUUUAUAACUCUUGGCUUAGAGACAAGACUUAACCCAAAGACUUUCAAAUAACAAGUUACACUCCAUGGGUAAGAAUUAACACCACCACAUUAUGCUUUGAUUUAUGAGAUGUUCUAUAACUCUUGCUUUAGAGGCAAGACUUAGUCCACGGACUUUUAAACAAAAAGUUACGCUUCACAGAUAAGAUUUGACGCUACCACAUUGUGUCAUAAUUUAUGAGAUGUUUUAUAAAUCAAGGACUUUUAAACAGCAAGUUAUGCCCCAUGGGUAAGAGUUGACGCUACCACAUUAUUUUUUGAUUUAUGAGAUGUUUUAUAACUCUUGCCUUAGAAGCAUGACUUAAGGAUUUUCAAACAAGUUAUGCUCCACAAACAAGACUUGACACUAUCACAUUAUGCCUUGAUUUAUGAGUUGUUCUAUAAUUUUUGCCUUGGAGGCAACACUUAUCCCAAAGAACUUCUUAACAACAAUUCAUGUCCUUAAAUUUGCAUUGAUGACAAAAAAAAGAUCCCUUUGCAGAUUAUCCAAUUUUUUAUUUAUUAGCAAAAUAUAAUAGAAAUUGAGAAAAAAGAAACAAGAGAUUAAAAAAAAUAGAAAAAUAAAAAAAAAAGAUUAAGAAAAAAGAGAAGAAUUAAAAAAAUUGAGAAAAACAAAAAUGAGAGGAAAAAAAUAAAAAUAAAGUUUAAGAAAAAUGAGGAAAAAAGGAGAUGAUAAAAACAAAAAAUAAAAGAAAAAUAAAUGUUGAGACAAAUGAAUUAAAAAAAGAAAAAAAAAUGAAGAAAUAAAUAAUGUUUAAGAAAAAAGAAAAAAGAGAAAAAAAUAAAUGUUGAGAUAAAUGAAUUAAAACAUGGAAAUAAAAUUAAAGGAAGAAUCAAAAAGUGAAAAUAAUAAAAAUAAAAAUAGAAUUUUAGAGACAAAUGAAUAUGGAAAAUUUAAAAAUAUUUGAGGUGUAGAGGGGUAAAAAAUUGUACUUGUACUGUACUUAAAAAGAAAAGGCUAGUCUUUAAAGACUUUUUUUAUUAAGGUCAAAAAUCCAAAGUCACCCACUAUUGGGGCUAUACCAUGUAAUUUCUCGGGCAAAAAGACCUUUUUUUGACCCAUGUUCUCAUAAAAGAAGUCCGUUAAGACUUGAGAAUUAUUUUGACCCACUCACUGAAGAAAUAAAGAACGCAAAAGAUGGGAAAAUUAAGAUGACACCUUCAAGGGUGGCAAGCGACUUAUCAUUUCAACUUGAUAAUGAAGCAGAUUACGAAACAGAGCCGAUGGCCAUGAUAAUUCUAAGACCUAUGCAGCCAAGCGAUUUUGUAACAGUAAACAGUUUCGAUGCUGAAUAUUCCUCCAGUGAUAAUCUUCUCCUUCCUUAAUUUGAAGCUUGGACAUUCUUCUACUCAAGUCACUCGCUCCCCUUCCCCUCUUGUAGUUGAUACUUCAAGAUGGACUAAAACUGUGAUGUACAAGGCAUGCAAAGCCUUUGGGAUUAAUACAGUGGGGUUUGAACAUGAAAUUCUCGAUAUGGUCCUACGAAUGGAGCGAAAGAGGCAAUCACAAAUUGAGCAGCGAAAAGCAUCCUCCAACACCAGAAACAAGGGGACAAAGAAACAGUCUUUAGAGCUUGAGAGGUUGAGUUGGGGUAUGAAUUUAGAGGGUAGAAAGUCAAGUGAUCGGGACAAGACCUACAAAGCCUUCUUUGAAUGAAGAUUAAAAUAUUAAGUUGGAAUGUGCGGGGGCUGAAUAAGGCCGAUAAGUGAACUACAAUCAAAUCUCUCAUCCAUAAAUGGAAAACAGAUAUAGUAUGUUGAUAAGAAACAAAAGUGGCAGAAUGGACUCCUUUUCAUAUUAGACAAGUCUAGGGGAACCACUGGGUAGAAUGGGCGGAGCUAAAGCCAAAUGGAAGAAGUGGCGGCAUUAUUGUACUAUGGGACAAAAGAUUCUGGUCUAAAUUGAUGUGCAACUUGGGGCAUAUACCAUUUCUUGUAUGUUGGAAAGCUCUCACGACCUCUUCAGGUGGUGUGAAGUGCUUCACAGGGGUUCAUGGACCCACUCAAACCCUAAGAGGGAAGAACUAUGGCAUGAAUUGGCAGCUAUCAGAGGUCUUUGGGAUGAACAGUUGGUGAUAGGAGGUGAUUUCAAUGUUUGUAUGUAUGAAAGUGAAAGAUACAACUGCGAUCAAGGGCCAUGAAAUCUUUCACAGACACCAUUCAAGACCUGGGCAUCAUUGAUCUACCAUUACAGAGGGCUCAUUAUACAUGGUUCAGAGGGGGGUGACUCAAUGCAAGCUUCUAGAAUCGACAGAUUCCUAAUCUCUUCAGAAAGGGAUGCAAACUUCAAUGCUAUCAAGCAGUUAGCUCUGCCAAGUGAUACGGGACAGCCACCAACACUCGAUAACAAGAUGGAAACACACGAUAACAAGAUGGAAACUAAGCUAUGGUAGCAACACCAAACCGAGAACAUAAGAAACAAACACAACAAAUGCGAUAAAGUAAGACAGAUAGUGAGACAUACACUAUUACAAGAAGUAGGAACUAAAGGAUGUAUCAAAUCCUAGAACCCGUAAGACUUACAAUAGUAACACCACACUCUUACGUAGACACAAGAGGGAAUCCACCCCUCAAGCACCGACGUUUCUCGCCAAAAUGCAAUACUAGUGAUUCCAUACUAAGUGCUACCCUAGUUACGGUUUUCACUCUCUCAAGAGAUGAGUUCUUUCAAUCAUUCAUCUUUCAAAAAACUAAGUGAAAUAAACCUAAUAAGUGUUUAUUUAUGGGCUAUUACAUAAAGGGAAGAAAAAAACAAGAUGCCCUUAAUGAAAGAGGGGAGGCCAUGGUGUGUUAAAACAUCAUGUGCAAUCUCUUAAAUGCCCUUCAAGAAGGGGGCAGCCAUUGAGUGUUUGGACUAGAUGAAUGGGACGCCUCUUCAAAGCACUCCAAAGCCGUGGUUCUUCAAG